This 466-nucleotide ribosomal RNA is filed under the name uncultured bacterium. RNAcentral describes it as "partial 16S ribosomal RNA". It matches the Rfam family "Bacterial small subunit ribosomal RNA", at positions 28 to 507 of the family's 1533-position model. The record is from RNAcentral.
GAUGAACGCUGGCGGCGUGCUUAACACAUGCAAGUCGAACGGAAAGGCCCAGCUUGCUGGGUUCUCGAGUGGCGAACGGGUGAGUAACUCGCGGGUGAUCUGCCUUGCACUCUGGGAUAAGCCUGGUCAACUGGGUCUAAUACCUGAUAUGACCAACUGUCGCCCGGAGGUUGGUGGAAAGCUUUUGCGGUUUGGGAUAGGUUCGCGGCCAAUCAGCUUGUCGGUGGGGUAAUGGUCUACUAACGCGUCGACGGGUAGCCGACAUGGGAGGGGGAUCGGGGACACUGGGACUAAGAGACGGCCCAGAAUCCAACGGGAGGCAGCAGGGGAGAGUAUUGCACAGUGGGGGCAAGCCUGAUGCAGCGACGCCGCGUGAGUGAUGACGGCCUUCGGGUUGUAAACCUCUUUCUCCAGGGACGAAGCGUGAGUGACGGUACCUAGAGAAGAAGCACCGGCCAACUACGUG